CGGUGCAUGAUGGGCGGCGCCGCAAAGCGGGGAGGAGGAGGCCGGGAAGAGGCCGAGACAUCCGGGGACUCGCGCAUUCGUCCCUCGUAUGAGCGUGCAGACGCCUUAAAACUCACGCAUUGGCCCGUUGAGAGGCGGGAGGGAACAGGAAAAGAUGAGAGAGCCCUAACCCUGACCCCGUUAUGAGGGCCGACCCAAAUGUCACGGAGGGGCGGUGUCGGCGUGGUGUAAUGGUUAAGAGUGUCGGGCUAAGGACCUGGGUUCGAAUCCCCCCGGCCGUGGAACUCACUGGGUGGCUGUGGGCCCUUCACUGCCUCUCGACCUAACCUACCUCGCAGGGUGGUCGUUGGGAUUACACGUGGAGGAGGGGGAGAGCCCUGUGCGCCACUGAGGACCAUGGGGGGAGAAGGUGGCAUAUAAAUGCAAUAAGCAAAUAAAUGAGGGGGGGAAGAGAGAGAAAAGUAGCACCGCAGGCAGCAAACGCGUCGGACUCCCAGUUGCUGGGAUCCAUGGAAGGGAGAGGGCGGCUCGUCUUGCGUUCGAAUCCUGCUUACGGGUAAGGGCAUCUCUGGAGGGCUGCUUGCUGCAAGGAUAGGAGGACGAGGCCUCGCUUGGCCUCAUCCAGCGGCCAAGCUCUUCCUAUGGCCUUAUGGAUGCUCCUGGUGCAGGGGCAGCCUUUCUGCACCCCCAGGUUCUUAGAAUCAUUGUACAGUACUGUAUGUAGACCAGCUUAUUAUAUGAAGUCUGUGAAGUCUGCAAAGCUUAUCACGUGUAUGCUGGGGGUAUGCCGAUAAAUCCUUUGAAAUGUUUGCAGGGAUUGUAACGGUUUUCCACGGGAGAGCAGAGGCACAGAUCGGUUUUGCAGAGAUGUCACCUUACAAAACAGUUAUAAUCCCUGCAAAACCGUCUCUGCCUCAGCACUCACUCACUCCGCCCCCCCCCCGCAGCCACAGCCAAUUGCCCAACAGCCUGCAGAGCAGCAAGCUCCUCAAGACACUGCAAAAAAAACCAUCAACGGGGUUUAUUUACUUCAGAGUAGUUGGGGGGGUGUCUUGCCCUGCCCCACUUCUGUGCGUGUGUUGCGCAUGUUAAGGUGCUGCCUAGCCACCUCUCAGACAUGAAGUUCUUGCUCAAGAGUUAAAAAAAAAGCAAAUUGCUAUGCCCUUAAAGCCAGCCCUACCUCUUUCUUCCCUUCUGUGUGAGCUUUGAAGGCAGAAAGCAGGAUGCUGCCUUGGCUUCCCUUUCCCAGACAUGAAGUUCUUGCUUUUGUGUCCUAAUAGGGGUAAAUGGAGGGAAGAAGAUUUAACUGGCUGUCUCCUAUGGGAGAGGUUGCAUGGCCAUCUAUCACGCUGCUUGAGUUGAGGUUCCUUCAUUGGAGGGGGUUGGACUAGGUGACCCUCAGAGGUCCCUUCCAACUCUGAUUCUGUGAUCAUCCCAAAGGUGAUGCAAGUAUUCCCUGUGCCGUCUACUGGCAGGGAAGCUUCAGUUUCCCGUGUUCUGUGAAAUGGCUUAGUCCUUGCUUUCAUGUGCUGUAUUUGCUCUUUUUUUAAAAAAAGAAUUAUGUGUUCUUUGACUAUAAAAGCCUAUAUAUGGAUAAUCUAUUUUCUUUUAGUUUGUCCUAGAUUUCCAAAGCCCUAUAAGUUGCUCAUGGGGUCACGAAGAGUUGGACACGACUAAACAACAAGAAGUUGCUCAAAUUGUUAGGCAAUUGGGCAUCUUUUAUUUUUAAACUCAUUGAUCAACUAAAUUUCAUGGUUUCUUUUUAUCUUUUAAAUAUAUGGGACACGCCUAACCGUAGUUUUAAAGAUGAAAAGGAUUCAAAUAAAACUUCCCCCAAAAUGCAAGUGGGAGCAAUUGGUAAACAAAAAUAAUAGCAAAUAUACCUCAAGGCUGCAAUCUUAAACAGUUCUUAAGGAAUUGACCCCAUUUGAACACAGUGGUACUUCCGAGUGAAAAACUUUAAAAGCCCUACACCAACGAGUAAUCUAGGAUUGAGCUUCAUGUAGCUCUAGAAUGAUCUGCGUCACUCAAAUUUUUCAUUUCAACUAAUGGGAAUAUUUGUUUAGCUAUUUUUAAAAGUGCUGUGUUUGAUGGACACAUCUAUCUUUAGGCAAGAAGAGGGAAAUAGAGGAAAUGGAUGUGAAACAAGAAAGUCUUGGUACCGCUGACCUGGUAGUUUAUGGGCUCGCAUGGGAAACGUCCGAGUGCGAACUGGAGUUCUUCAGCAGAUUUGGAGCAGUUCUCAGGGUCCAGGUAUCUAGCGUAAGUAACUACCCUUGCAUGAGCCAUGACUGGCCAAAGCAUUGAAAUGUAACUGCUGUUUGUUGUGGUUUCUUAUUGCUUCACCCACUUCAAGUUACCCAAAAAUAAAUAAAUAAAUCGCCAUAAAAAAUGGUAUCCGAAACCUGGUAUCAGGAACACAAAUUUCUUUUUGGGAACAGGAUUGUUGAGGUGCCAUUUGCUGCCCUCAGACUUUUGUCUUCCUUGGUGCUGGGACUAAAGUGGCUGUGGUUCACUCAACUCAUGAUGGAAACAAGUCUUCCCUUGAGGGCCACUGAAGCAAGGGACUGGGACUGAGCAACCACAUCUUUCAGGUUUCAGAAUUUAGCUGCUUGUGGUUUUAGUUCGACAAAAACAUUUGUAUUAAAAUCUAAGGACUGCUGCUGCUUCCCAGCAAGGACCACCCUGCUGAGAGUCUGAUGGCCCUACUCCUGCCUCUCUCCACCUGGCCCAGGGCGGGGCCUGAUAGGCUUCAUAAGGACUGCUGCUGCCCCGCAAGAGGGAACUGCUGCUGCUUUUAAAUUGUUUUUUUUU
Non-coding RNA from Zootoca vivipara (common lizard), 2814 nucleotides. The record is from RefSeq and is a predicted model, not a curated record. Lineage: Eukaryota; Metazoa; Chordata; Lepidosauria; Squamata; Lacertidae.